GAACGAUAUUUUUAAUAUUUUCUGUUCUACUUUUAGAUUUAGAACUUUUUAAUAGACCGGAGAUGUAGAUAUAAGUUGAGUGCAGAAAAAUUAAAUAAGAAUAGAAGCCUGAUGAGAUCCGUAUUUAGAACGUUAUGUUUUGAUAGUAUAUAAAAAUAAGGAUAAUUUUAUAUAGCUUUCUGUAAACAUAUCGAUUAUCAAAUAUGUCUAUACAAAGUUCAAAUUUUCAGAUUUAUCUCUCAAAAACUCCUAACCAUUUUAAAUAAUACUUCUGCUGUUAACGUCCGUUAGAAAAAUAUAUUAAUCAUGAAUAAAAUACUUAAUCUUGACUAGUGACUUAGAUAAGUUGACCUUUUUAUCCCUCUGAUAUUAUAUACAUUCUUUUCUCAGUCAAAAUCCUAGUUCGGUCAAAAUUCUAUUAAUGAAAACUCUUCUUCCUCUUUUUCUCUCUCCUUCAUGCUAGUUUUAAAUUUGUAACUAGAAUUUUUCCGUCCACAUUCAUCUACGAUACAUGCUGUUCGCUCAUGUCGAGCGCUGGAAAUAAGUAUUAUAUAAGUAAAGGAGAAAGGGGGUAAGAGAAGAGGUAGAAAAGAGCUUGCGACAAUAGUAGAUUAGAUUAGUUUUUAUAGAGGAAGAAGAUGAUCAUUCAAUUUUUUUUUGGAAGGACAUUUAAGUACGAUUCUAAUAAGAGAAACUUUUAGAGGAACAUAUUUGUAAUGACAAAAAUUGACAUUUCACUUAUCUUCUGUUAAAAAAUAAAUACUAAGCUAACGGUGAUAAAUUAGAGGAGCAAAUAAGAAUAUCACCGGAUUUUGAAGGAAUAAAUUUAAAAUUUUGAACUUUAUAGGAAUAUAUCUGCUAUUCGGCUGUAUGAAAAAAAUUUUAUGCAGC
This 891-nucleotide long non-coding RNA is filed under the name Ananas comosus (pineapple). Its description in RNAcentral is "long non-coding RNA (ACOM_LNC044593)". The record is from RNAcentral. Lineage: Eukaryota; Viridiplantae; Streptophyta; Magnoliopsida; Poales; Bromeliaceae.